Long non-coding RNA from Melitaea cinxia (Glanville fritillary), 585 nucleotides. RefSeq lists it as uncharacterized. NCBI's taxonomy places the organism in Eukaryota, Metazoa, Arthropoda, Insecta, Lepidoptera, Nymphalidae. The transcript has 3 exons. The record is from RefSeq and is a predicted model, not a curated record.
UUUGUGAAGGGUCUGCCUGACAUGGCCAACGUUUUAUGUUCAAAUAAGUGGCACAGCAGAAACAAUGGAAGAGGCAGAGGAAAAAUUAAUAAGAUUAAAAAGAACCCCUAUUCUUCUCUACCAAUAAUGAGUAGUCUGCUAAAGCAAAAGUGGCUGCUGUUGAAAAAACUUUCAAAUUAAAAGCUUUAGCAUAGGAUUGAUUAAAAAUAGAUAAUAUAUUUAGCCAAAUAGCUUUAGAGUUAACUGACGAACCCACUGAAAUUGCAGAACCUAAGAAAUAAAAGCCAAAAAAAUGUAACCAAAAAAUAGUGAAGAAACAAGCCUAAAAACAUAGUCUCGAAUGGUCAUCUACAUCAAUAGCAUCUUUGAUAUCUUCAUCACCACCGUCAUCAUUAUGUAAACCUAUAGAAAUAAAUAAUGAAACUAAAUAAAACGAAUUAAUGACAGUACUAACUAUAUUGUUGACUCAAAAAAAAAGGAAAAAAUUAGUUCAUAAUCUACACCAUACCACCUUGAUCAUCUUCAUCAUCACCAUCAACUAAAAGUAGAAAAAUAAGAAAAAUCCACUCUAAUUUGAAGGAAAUA